RNAcentral lists this transfer RNA (62 nucleotides) under human gut metagenome. It matches the Rfam family "tRNA", at positions 6 to 65 of the family's 71-position model. Rfam says of the family: Transfer RNA (tRNA) molecules are approximately 80 nucleotides in length. Their secondary structure includes four short double-helical elements and three loops (D, anti-codon, and T loops). Further hydrogen bonds mediate the characteristic L-shaped molecular structure. tRNAs have two regions of fundamental functional importance: the anti-codon, which is responsible for specific mRNA codon recognition, and the 3' end, to which the tRNAs corresponding amino acid is attached (by aminoacyl-tRNA synthetases). tRNAs cope with the degeneracy of the genetic code in two manners: having more than one tRNA (with a specific anti-codon) for a particular amino acid; and 'wobble' base-pairing, i.e. permitting non-standard base-pairing at the 3rd anti-codon position. The record is from RNAcentral. RNAcentral also lists the same sequence under 1 other name.
GGUAGCUCAAUUGGCAGAGUAUCGGUCUCCAAAACCGAAUGUUGCAGGUUCGAUUCCUGCCC